Small nuclear RNA from Mustela putorius furo (domestic ferret), 107 nucleotides. The record is from Ensembl. NCBI's taxonomy places the organism in Eukaryota, Metazoa, Chordata, Mammalia, Carnivora, Mustelidae.
GUGCUCGCUUCGGCAGCACAUAUACUAAAAUUGGAAUGAUACAGAGAAGAUUAGCAUGGCCCCUGCACAAGGAUUACAUGCAAAUUCGUGAAACAUUCCAUAUUUUU